RNAcentral lists this ribosomal RNA (253 nucleotides) under uncultured bacterium. RNAcentral's name for it is "partial 16S ribosomal RNA". It matches the Rfam family "Bacterial small subunit ribosomal RNA", at positions 524 to 776 of the family's 1533-position model. The record is from RNAcentral.
GACGAACCGUGCGAACGUUGUUCGGAAUCACUGGGCUUAAAGGGCGCGUAGGCGGGCGAUCAAGUCAGGGGUGAAAUCUUUCGGCUCAACCGGAAAACAGCUUCUGAUACUGGUCGUCUUGAGUGAGGUAGGGGCAUGUGGAACUUCCGGUGGAGCGGUGAAAUGCGUAGAUAUCGGAAGGAACGCCGGUGGCGAAAGCGACGUGCUGGACCUCUUCUGACGCUGAGGCGCGAAAGCUAGGGGAGCAAACGGG